UGAGUGUCAAUAAUUCUCACGAGUCAGCUUUUCUCUCUUUAGUUUUAUUUUCUCAAACUCUCACUAGAACCUUCAAACAAACUUCUAGUUUUCAGGUGGCCGGCGAACUCAUCGCUGUCGGUCGCCAGUCGCCACCCCUUCUUUUAUUUUUUGUUUGUCUUGUAGUAUAUAUUCGAUCUCCAGAACGAUUUCAAGCUUCCGGUUUGUUGGAUUCAAUGAAGAUUUAGGAGGAAGGAGACAACAAUUGGACUUUCGAGAGGUUAGUUAAUAUCGGAAUCUGAAGAUUCAAGACAGAAAAGGCGGUUCUAGACUGGCAAUAUAUUUUCCUUGUUACCUUUCACUCUACCACUCACAACACGAUACUGGACAGCCCAUCAAUGUCCACAGAGCAUUCGGAGCUGGAUGUUCUACAUGUCUUCACUUCGAGAGAGAUCCUAUCUUCAUUUUGGAUUGGAUAGUGGACUGUAGACUAAUUGUAUUAGGUUUUAUUUCAUUCCUCUUGUAAUCAAUAUGUCCAUUGGGCUUAUGCAAUGAAUAUAAUGUUGACAAAAAAAGAAUAUGUGACUGAAUCUGUCAUAUUGAUUUGAUGGA
Long non-coding RNA from Raphanus sativus (radish), 591 nucleotides. RefSeq lists it as uncharacterized. NCBI's taxonomy places the organism in Eukaryota, Viridiplantae, Streptophyta, Magnoliopsida, Brassicales, Brassicaceae. The record is from RefSeq and is a predicted model, not a curated record. The transcript has 2 exons.